UAAACAGAAGAACGUUUUUCGAGAAAGCAGAUUAAAUUGUCUCUUAUCAGAAAUCAAAUGCAUACAUCAGUGGCUAUGUUAUAAUCCCAUUAAAUGUUUUUGUUUGUUUUUAACAUUCAAUUUAAUUUUUUUUUUCACAAACAGGAGUAGCUGUUUUUCAAAUCAGAUUCUGUGACAGUCUGAAAACUGACAAACAAAGAGGGCUUUAGCCGUGCCAGUUUUCGUUGUUGAGCAUCGAUAGAAAACUAGCAUGAUUUAUAAGGUUGAUGGGUGCACAUAAGAAGCCACCGAGACACAAAAAAACGAUGAAGGAGAGAAAAGAAAUCUGUUUUGAACUUAUUCUAGAUUAUUGUACGUGCAGAAGGUGUGAUCGGACCGAACCUACGAUCGAGAUCAGACCGUCCAGGCAAUUAGACGUCGAACCAAUCAUCAUCGCUAGAACACCAUCGCGUAUAUUCGAAGAGACUCGGUCGAUAUGAGAGUUCCGAUCAAAUCCGAGGUAAGGCCAGUUCUAAACGCCAAAAUUGAGAAGAGUGUGAUGAUGAGACGGUCGUUUUCUUCUGGGAUUCAGAGGACAAAGGCAAAAAUCAUAUUCUGAAAAAGUAGGACAGUGUGAAAGCUGUGAACAUUUGAGGAGCACUUCAUCCGGCUCUAUUCAUUUUUCAAAAUCGAAUCGUGGAUGUGGAUAUCUUUUUUCUUGUCCCCUCUUUGAGAGGGACUGAUUUAUUUAUGCUCUGUUUGAAACACUGAAAUUUUAAUCUUAAUAGGAACUAAUAAUAAAGUUGUAUGAAAGUAAACUGUAAAAAUUAAACCUUA
Molecule: long non-coding RNA, 816 nt
Organism: Cimex lectularius (bed bug)
Lineage: Eukaryota; Metazoa; Arthropoda; Insecta; Hemiptera; Cimicidae
Exons: 2
Source: RefSeq, a predicted model, not a curated record